This 429-nucleotide ribosomal RNA is filed under the name Theileria equi. RNAcentral's name for it is "SSU rRNA". It matches the Rfam family "Eukaryotic small subunit ribosomal RNA", at positions 558 to 1021 of the family's 1831-position model. Lineage: Eukaryota; Apicomplexa; Aconoidasida; Piroplasmida; Theileriidae. The record is from RNAcentral.
AGUCUGGUGCCAGCAGCCGCGGUAAUUCCAGCUCCAAUAGCGUAUAUUAAACUUGUUGCAGUUAAAAAGCUCGUAGUUGAAUUUCUGCUGUUUCGUUGACUGCGUUUGGCGUUUGUCAUCGUUGCGGCUUGGUUGGGUUUCGAUUAUUCGUUUCCCGGCGUUUACUUUGAGAAAAUUAGAGUGCUUGAAGCAGGCUUUUGCCUUGAAUACUUUAGCAUGGAAUAACGGAGUAGGACUUUGGUUCUAUUUUGUUGGUUUUAGGAGCCAGAGUAAUGGUUAAUAGGAACAGUUGGGGGCAUUCGUAUUUGACUGUCAGAGGUGAAAUUCUUAGAUUUGUCAAAGACGAACUACUGCGAAAGCAUUUGCCAAGGAUGUUUUCAUUAAUCAAGAACGAAAGUUAGGGGAUCGAAGACGAUCAGAUACCGUCGU